RNAcentral lists this ribosomal RNA (573 nucleotides) under Enterococcus faecium. Its description in RNAcentral is "bacterial SSU rRNA". It matches the Rfam family "Bacterial small subunit ribosomal RNA", at positions 968 to 1533 of the family's 1533-position model. The record is from RNAcentral. Lineage: Bacteria; Bacillati; Bacillota; Bacilli; Lactobacillales; Enterococcaceae.
ACCUUACCAGGUCUUGACAUCCUUUGACCACUCUAGAGAUAGAGCUUCCCCUUCGGGGGCAAAGUGACAGGUGGUGCAUGGUUGUCGUCAGCUCGUGUCGUGAGAUGUUGGGUUAAGUCCCGCAACGAGCGCAACCCUUAUUGUUAGUUGCCAUCAUUCAGUUGGGCACUCUAGCAAGACUGCCGGUGACAAACCGGAGGAAGGUGGGGAUGACGUCAAAUCAUCAUGCCCCUUAUGACCUGGGCUACACACGUGCUACAAUGGGAAGUACAACGAGUCGCGAAGUCGCGAGGCUAAGCUAAUCUCUUAAAGCUUCUCUCAGUUCGGAUUGCAGGCUGCAACUCGCCUGCAUGAAGCCGGAAUCGCUAGUAAUCGCGGAUCAGCACGCCGCGGUGAAUACGUUCCCGGGCCUUGUACACACCGCCCGUCACACCACGAGAGUUUGUAACACCCGAAGUCGGUGAGGUAACCUUUUNGGAGCCAGCCGCCUAAGGUGGGAUAGAUGAUUGGGGUGAAGUCGUAACAAGGUAGCCGUAUCGGAAGGUGCGGCUGGAUCACCUCCUUUCUAAGGAA